This 253-nucleotide ribosomal RNA is filed under the name uncultured bacterium. Its description in RNAcentral is "partial 16S ribosomal RNA". It matches the Rfam family "Bacterial small subunit ribosomal RNA", at positions 524 to 776 of the family's 1533-position model. The record is from RNAcentral.
UACGUAGGGUGCAAGCGUUGUCCGGAUUUACUGGGCGUAAAGAGCGCGCAGGCGGUCGUUCAAGUCGAGUGUGAAAGCCCCCGGCUCAACUGGGGAGGGUCACUCGAUACUGAUCGACUCGAAGGCAGGAGAGGGUAGUGGAAUUCCCGGUGUAGUGGUGAAAUGCGUAGAUAUCGGGAGGAACACCAGUGGCGAAGGCGACUACCUGGCCUGUUCUUGACGCUGAGGCGCGAAAGCUAGGGGAGCAAACAGG